Non-coding RNA from Schizosaccharomyces pombe (fission yeast), 1190 nucleotides. The record is from the annotation of a GenBank genome assembly. NCBI's taxonomy places the organism in Eukaryota, Fungi, Ascomycota, Schizosaccharomycetes, Schizosaccharomycetales, Schizosaccharomycetaceae.
UGAGUGAUUGCAUCGAGUUUGUGCGCCGAAUUUAUGCACUGAUCUUAAGCAUUGAGUUUAUGCACCGAGAUUAAGCACUGAUUGUAUGUCUCGACUUUAUUUGUAUCAAUUUUAUACAUCUGUUUGGCUUCUACCAUUUCGUUUCUACAAUCUCCAUACACUCCUUUACACUUACUUCUUUAAUUUGUCGCAUACCUCUUACACAUAGAAUUACAAUUCAUUUGUAAUGGCUCAUUGCCUCUGCCCAUUUAUCGUUCGUUUACUUCUAAAUCCGUUUUCACCCCAUUCCAUCUUAUUAUCUAAACUUUGCGUAGCGUUAUAUCCUCUGUCGUAACCAACUUUUAUUUUUACAUUUCAUAUGUUGCAACUAAGGCAAAUUAAAUCAAUAUACGCUCUUCUCACCGUCUUCCUCAACCACCCCCACUGAGAUCUAAAGUGGGGUGCAUUUCCAUACUCAUUUAGAAUCAUUCUCAUAGAAUCACGCUCAUAUGUCUAAAUAUACUUUUACCUGAAAUCAGCACCAUACCGAUUGCCCCCCACUAAGUACAAAUUGAUCCCACUUCUACAGGAUUCUACUUUUUUAAUUUAUACCAUACCUGAAAAAGGUCGUAAAUAAAAAAUAUAAAUAAUAAAAAAAUAAUUCUCUUUCAUCUACUUUAACGCAUACCCUUCCGAUGUUUUAAUAAAUAAAAUAAUAGUUGAAAAAUGUUUACAUUGUUUAAAUAAUUAUUCAUUUGCUCUCGAGUUUAUCUACUUUAGGCUGUUUGUAUUGUUUUGCAUUCAAGCUUCAUCAAUCACCUUUGCUGUUUUCAUUCAAUCAAAAGUUUUAAACAACUCAUUCUGUAUGCCCAAAAAAAAAAGUAAAACAAAAGAAAAGAAAAAAACAUUCUAAUUGUUUAUUUUAUUGUAUUUCCUAUUCACUGACUCUUUUUUUUUUCAUUCAUUCAUUCAUCUAUUUCCCAUUUAAUACAAUCCAUUCAAACUUGCGCUAUCAUUGCACUAAAGCAGCAUAUCAUACUAUUGUUAAAUGCGUUGCGAAAUCGGCGAUACCUCUCUUCCUCGCUACGCUACGUUUGAUUUCGGCGAUCGGUCAUUUUUGAGCCGUUGAUUGGCUACUUUUAUUUUUGCUUUGCGACAAUAUGGUCUGUUUUUGCUCAGCCCUCCCUCAACUAACUUCCUUCAUAGUUCAA